UACGGAGGGGGCUAGCGUUGUCCGGAUUUACUGGGCGUAAAGCGCACGUAGGCGGCUUUGUUAGUUAGAGGUGAAAGCCCGGGGCUCAACUCCGGAAUUGCCUUUAAGACUGCAUCGCUCGAAUUGUGGAGAGGUAAGUGGAAUUCCGAGUGUAGAGGUGAAAUUCGUAGAUAUUCGCAAGAACACCAGUGGCGAAGGCGGCUCACUGGCCCGGUACUGACGCUGAGGCACGAAAGCGUGGGGAGCAAACAGG
RNAcentral lists this ribosomal RNA (253 nucleotides) under uncultured bacterium. RNAcentral's name for it is "partial 16S ribosomal RNA". It matches the Rfam family "Bacterial small subunit ribosomal RNA", at positions 524 to 776 of the family's 1533-position model. The record is from RNAcentral.